This 178-nucleotide antisense RNA is filed under the name Anabaena cylindrica PCC 7122. RNAcentral's name for it is "Antisense RNA which regulates isiA expression". It matches the Rfam family "Antisense RNA which regulates isiA expression". The record is from Rfam by way of RNAcentral. Lineage: Bacteria; Bacillati; Cyanobacteriota; Cyanophyceae; Nostocales; Nostocaceae.
GAUAGCCAUAGAUAAUAAAGGGAUUGAGAGUGGGAUUUGUGACAACUCUGACAUCAUGAAUUGUUGAGUCAUAUAUUCCUCCCCAAAACAUCGCUUUUCCCACCAAUAAUAAGGCUGCUAUGCCUAAAAAUAGGAGGUGAUGACCCAAAAUCAAUCCUAGUUGUUUGUGAUCAUUCCA